Molecule: non-coding RNA, 183 nt
Filed under: Eubacterium sp.
Lineage: Bacteria; Bacillati; Bacillota; Clostridia; Eubacteriales; Eubacteriaceae
Also listed under: 22 other names
Description: 6S RNA
Rfam family: 6S / SsrS RNA
About the family: E. coli 6S RNA was the first non coding RNA to be sequenced, but its function was unknown until recently. It consists of 184 nucleotides that fold into an extended hairpin structure with a large single-stranded internal bulge.
Source: RNAcentral
UCUGCUAUACUAUAUGUGUCCGGAGGGUAUAAAUUUUUCCUACGCUUAGAGAUAAGGGAGAUCGGAUGUUGUUAGAUGGUGUUGAAUACCUGCUACGUGUAGGGAUCCUAAUGUCUAACGCAGAUCACCCACCUGUAUAUACAGGGAAAGAUCUCUCCCUUCGGACGUAUAUGAGAAAUUGAC